This 216-nucleotide long non-coding RNA is filed under the name Elaeis guineensis (African oil palm). RNAcentral describes it as "long non-coding RNA (EGUI_LNC009070)". Lineage: Eukaryota; Viridiplantae; Streptophyta; Magnoliopsida; Arecales; Arecaceae. The record is from RNAcentral.
UCUAUAUGUGGCUCAGAAGUAGGAUCACUAUCUUUGUAUUAAUUCUAAAUGUAAAUGAUGUUACUACUUAGUUGCAAUUCUUCAUAUACAUAAACAAUGUUAAGUUGAACUAAUUUCUUUAUCCCAUGUAUUCCUAAAGUCCCAAAAGACAAUAUGUUAUCUUUUGUGUUUUUCAAAAUUAAACUGAAUAGCAUAGUUGCAUAGAUAAAGUUUUCU